AGGUUAAGCUACAAAGGGCGCACGGUGGAUGCCUUGGUGCUAGGAGCCGAAGAAGGACGGGACGAACACCGAUAUGCCUCGGGGAGCUGUAAGUGAGCAUUGAUCCGGGGAUUUCCGAAUGGGGGAACCCAUGCUUCGUAAUGGAAGCAUACCCAUCUCUGAACACAUAGGAGAUGAGGAGGCAACCAGGGGAACUGAAACAUCUAAGUACCCUGAGGAAGAGAAAGCAAAAGCGAUUCCCUAAGUAGUGGCGAGCGAAAGGGGAACAGCCUAAACCGGUACUUACGGGUACCGGGGUUGUGGGGCGUCUCAUAAGGAGUUACAAAGAAGUAUCGUAGUUGAACAGGUCUGGAAAGGCUGGCCAAAGAGCGUAAGAGCCGCGUAGACGAAACGGUGCUACCUCCGAGACGGACCCCGAGUACGGCGGGACACGUGAAACCCCGUCGGAAUCUGGGAGGACCAUCUCCUAAGGCUAAAUACUCCCUAGCAACCGAUAGUGAAGCAGUACCGUGAGGGAAAGGUGAAAAGCACCCCGGGAGGGGAGUGAAAUAGAACCUGAAACCGUGUGCUUACAAACAGUUGGAGCACGAUUAAUGUGUGACAGCGUGCCUUUUGUAGAAUGAACCGGCGAGUUACGAUUGCGUGCGAGGUUAAGGUGGAGAGCCGGAGCCGUAGCGAAAGCGAGUCUGAAUAGGGCGAAAGUACGUAGUCGUAGACCCGAAACCGUGUGAUCUACCCAUGUCCAGGGUGAAGGUGAGGUAACACUCACUGGAGGCCCGAACCCACUAGUGUUGAAAAACUAGGGGAUGAGGUGUGGGUAGGGGUGAAAUGCCAAUCGAACACGGAGAUAGCUGGUUCUCCCCGAAAUAGCUUUAGGGCUAGCCUUGAAGUGAGAAUCUUGGAGGUAGAGCACUGAUUGGACUAGGGGCCCUCAUCGGGUUACCGAAUUCAGUCAAACUCCGAAUGCCAAAGAUUCAUCUUCAGGAGUCAGACGGCGAGUGCUAAGAUCCGUCGUCAAGAGGGAAACAGCCCAGACCAUCAGCUAAGGUCCCAAAGUAUACGUUAAGUGGAGAAGGAUGUGGAGUUGCAUAGACAACCAGGAUGUUGGCUUAGAAGCAGCCACCAUUUAAAGAGUGCGUAAUAGCUCACUGGUCGAGUGACUCUGCGCCGAAAAUGUACCGGGGCUAAACGUAUCACCGAAGCUAUGGAUUGUACCGCCUUUACUGCUACUUUGAAGAGUUUAGCAGAGGUACAUUUCGUCAAAAUCAACCGAUGGGGAAGGGAUGCGACAUAGAAAUAGCAUCAAGUAAGAAGAUUUUGACCAAAUGCCAAAAAGCUAAACGAGAACUUCGAAGCUGGAGUAAAGGUGGUACAGUGGUAGGGGAGCGUUCUUAUUGCGUAGAAGUCGUACCGAGAGGAGCGGUGGAGCGAUAAGAAGUGAGAAUGCCGGUAUGAGUAGCGAAAAGAGGGGUGAGAAUCCCCUCCGCCGAAAACCCAAGGUUUCCUGAGGAAGGCUCGUCCGCUCAGGGUUAGUCGGGACCUAAGCCGAGGCCGAAAGGCGUAGGCGAUGGACAACAGGUUGAAAUUCCUGUACUACCUCCAUUCCGUUUGAACGACGGGGUGACGCAGGAGGGUAGGGAGAGCGUGCUGCUGGAAUAGCACGUCCAAGCGGUGAGGCUGAGUUUAGAGGCAAAUCCCUAGACUCGUAAGGCUGGGCCGUGAUGGCGAGGGAAAAUAGAAGUACCGAAGUCCCUGAUCUCAAACUGCCAAGAAAAGCCUCUAGUGAGGAAUGAGGUACCCGUACCGUAAACCGACACAGGUGGGUGAGGAGAGAAUCCUAAGGCGCUCGGGAGAACUCUCGUUAAGGAACUCGGCAAAAUGACCCCGUAACUUCGGGAGAAGGGGUGCCUCGGUAGGGUGAAAGCCCGAGGAGGCCGCAGUGAAAAGGCCCAAGCGACUGUUUAGCAAAAACACAGGUCUCUGCAAAACCGUAAGGUGAAGUAUAGGGGCUGACGCCUGCCCGGUGCUGGAAGGUUAAGGGGAAAGGUUAGCAUAUGCGAAGCUUUGAACCGAAGCCCCAGUAAACGGCGGCCGUAACUAUAACGGUCCUAAGGUAGCGAAAUUCCUUGUCAGGUAAGUUCUGACCCGCACGAAUGGCGUAACGAUUUGGGCACUGUCUCAACGAGAGACCCGGUGAAAUUGUAAUACCUGUGAAGAUGCAGGUUACCCGCGACAAGACGGAAAGACCCCAUGGAGCUUUACUGUAGCCUGAUAUUGAAUUUUAGUACGAUUUGUACAGGAUAGGUGGGAGCCAGAGAAUCCGGGCCGCCAGGUUCGGAGGAGGCGACGUUGGGAUACCACCCUGAUCGUAUUGAAAUUCUAACCUACAUCCCUGAUCGGGAUGAGGGACCGUGUCAGGUGGGCAGUUUGACUGGGGCGGUCGCCUCCUAAAGAGUAACGGAGGCGCCCAAAGGUUCCCUCAGAAUGGUUGGAAAUCAUUCGAAGAGUGUAAAGGCAGAAGGGAGCUUGACUGCGAGACCUACAAGUCGAGCAGGGACGAAAGUCGGGCUUAGUGAUCCGGUGGUUCCGCAUGGAAGGGCCAUCGCUCAACGGAUAAAAGCUACCCUGGGGAUAACAGGCUUAUCUCCCCCAAGAGUCCACAUCGACGGGGAGGUUUGGCACCUCGAUGUCGGCUCAUCGCAUCCUGGGGCUGAAGUAGGUCCCAAGGGUUGGGCUGUUCGCCCAUUAAAGCGGUACGCGAGCUGGGUUCAGAACGUCGUGAGACAGUUCGGUCCCUAUCUGUCGCGGGCGUAGGAAAUUUGAGAGGAGCUGUCCUUAGUACGAGAGGACCGGGAUGGACACACCGCUGGUGUACCAGUUGUACCGCCAGGUGCACAGCUGGGUAGCCAAGUGUGGAAGGGAUAAGCGCUGAAAGCAUCUAAGCGUGAAGCCCCCCUCAAGAUGAGAUUUCCCAUGGAGUUAAUCCAGUAAGACCCCUUAGAGAAGAUGAGGUAGAUAGGUCCGGUGUGGAAGUGCAGCAAUGCAUGGAGCUGACGGAUACUAAUAGGUCGAGGGCUUAACCAAAGCUC
RNAcentral lists this ribosomal RNA (3089 nucleotides) under Vulcanibacillus modesticaldus. RNAcentral's name for it is "bacterial LSU rRNA". It matches the Rfam family "Bacterial large subunit ribosomal RNA". Lineage: Bacteria; Bacillati; Bacillota; Bacilli; Caryophanales; Bacillaceae. The record is from RNAcentral.